GGGCAAUUAACUCAGUGGUAGAGUGCUUCCUUCACAUGGAAGAAGUCAACAGUUCAAAUCUGUUAUUGCCUA
This 72-nucleotide transfer RNA is filed under the name Treponema sp. CETP13. RNAcentral's name for it is "tRNA-Val". It matches the Rfam family "tRNA". Rfam says of the family: Transfer RNA (tRNA) molecules are approximately 80 nucleotides in length. The record is from RNAcentral. Lineage: Bacteria; Pseudomonadati; Spirochaetota; Spirochaetia; Treponematales; Treponemataceae.